This 253-nucleotide ribosomal RNA is filed under the name uncultured bacterium. RNAcentral's name for it is "partial 16S ribosomal RNA". It matches the Rfam family "Bacterial small subunit ribosomal RNA", at positions 524 to 776 of the family's 1533-position model. The record is from RNAcentral.
AACGUAGGUGGCGAGCGUUAUCCGGAUUUACUGGGCGUAAAGGGUGUGCAGGCUGCCCCUCAAGUGGUGUAUGAAAGGGCUCGGCUCAACCGGGCUAGGUUAUGCCAGACUGAGGGGCUAGAGAGCGAGAGCGGGACGUGGAAUUCCGGGUGUAGUGGUGAAAUGCGUAGAUAUCGGGAGGAACACCAGUGGCGAAGGCGACUUCCUGGCCUGUUCUUGACGCUGAGGCGCGAAAGCUAGGGUAGCAAACGGG